AGAAUCUCCUUAUAGACAGGUGCAAAAAUCCUCUUUUGCAACCCAGAACUCAUUGUUCAGUAUGAGUUUUGAUACAGGUAAGAAGGAACAUG
Balaenoptera musculus (blue whale) is the source of this 92-nucleotide small nucleolar RNA. Lineage: Eukaryota; Metazoa; Chordata; Mammalia; Artiodactyla; Balaenopteridae. The record is from Ensembl.